UACAGAGGUGGCAAGCGUUGUUCGGAAUUACUGGGCGUAAAGGGCGCGUAGGCGGCCUUGUAAGUCCUGUGUGAAAUCCCCCGGCUCAACUGGGGAACUGCACAGGAGACUGCUUGGCUUGAGUUCGGGAGAGGGAAGCGGAAUUCCGGGUGUAGCGGUGAAAUGCGUAGAUAUUGGGAAGAACACCGGAGGCGAAGGCGGAUUGCUGGGCCGACACUGACGCUGAGGCGCGAAAGCCAGGGGAGCAAACGGG
This 253-nucleotide ribosomal RNA is filed under the name uncultured bacterium. RNAcentral's name for it is "partial 16S ribosomal RNA". It matches the Rfam family "Bacterial small subunit ribosomal RNA", at positions 524 to 776 of the family's 1533-position model. The record is from RNAcentral.